GGAGGGUCCACAGCUCAGCGGUGGAGCAUCUGCUUCGCAUGCAGAAGGCCCCUGGUUCAAUCCCUGGCAUCUCCA
Molecule: non-coding RNA, 75 nt
Organism: Podarcis lilfordi (Lilford's wall lizard)
Lineage: Eukaryota; Metazoa; Chordata; Lepidosauria; Squamata; Lacertidae
Source: the annotation of a GenBank genome assembly